GCACUUAACGGAUUAAGUGUUCCGCCUGGGGAGUACGGUCGCAAGAUUAAAACUCAAAGGAAUAGACGGGGACCCGCACAAGUGGUGGAGCAUGUGGUUUAAUUCGAAGAUACGCGAAGAACCUUACCUAGCCUUGACAUUGAUUGAACAGAGUAGAGAUACACUGGUGCCCUUCGGGGAACAUGAAAACAGGUGCUGCACGGCUGUCGUCAGCUCGUGUCGUGAGAUGUUGGGUUAAGUCCCGCAACGAGCGCAACCCUCGUCCUUAGUUGCCAGCAGGUUAAGCUGGGCACUCUAAGGAGACUGCCUUCGUAAGGAGGAGGAAGGUGAGGACGACGUCAAGUCAUCAUGGCCCUUAUGGCUAGGGCUACACACGUGCUACAAUGGGGCGUACAGAGAGUUGCGAUACCGCGAGGUGGAGCCAAUCUCAUAAAGCGUCUCUCAGUUCGGAUAGAAGUCUGCAACUCGACUUCUUGAAGCUGGAAUCACUAGUAAUCGUAGAUCAGCAAUGCUACGGUGAAUACGUUCCCGGGUCUUGUACUCACCGCCCGUCACACCAUGGGAGUUGAUUUCACCCGAAAUUGGGAAGCUAACCUUCGGGGGGCUACCACUUACGGUGGAAUUAGCGACUGGGGUGAAGUCGUAACAAGGUA
Molecule: ribosomal RNA, 653 nt
Filed under: uncultured bacterium
Lineage: Bacteria
Description: bacterial SSU rRNA
Rfam family: Bacterial small subunit ribosomal RNA
Source: RNAcentral